AUACGGAGGAUGCAAGCGUUAUCCGGAUUUAUUGGGUUUAAAGGGUGCGUAGGCGGAUGAUUAAGCGUGAGGUGAAAUGCCACUGCUCAACAGUGGAACUGCCUCGCGAACUGGUUGUCUUGAAUGCUCCUGCCGUGGGCGGAAUGUGUGGUGUAGCGGUGAAAUGCAUAGAGAUCACACAGAACACCGAUUGCGAAGGCAUCUCACGAAGGGGUGAUUGACGCUGAGGCACGAAAGCGUGGGGAUCAAACAGGAUUAGAUACCCUGGUAGUCCACGCAGUAAACGAUGAUAACUAACCGCUGGGUCGUAGUGAUUCAGUGGCCAAGCGAAAGCGAUAAGUUAUCCACCUGGGGAGUACGACCGCAAGGUUGAAACUCAAAUGAAUUGGCGGGG
Molecule: ribosomal RNA, 394 nt
Filed under: uncultured bacterium
Lineage: Bacteria
Description: partial 16S ribosomal RNA
Rfam family: Bacterial small subunit ribosomal RNA
Source: RNAcentral